GACGAACGCUGGCGGCGUGCUUAACACAUGCAAGUCGAACGGAAAGGCCUUUUCGGAGGUACUCGAGUGGCGAACGGGUGAGUAACACGUGGGUGAUCUGCCCUGCACUCUGGGAUAAGCCUGGGAAACUGGGUCUAAUACCGGAUAGGACCGCACUUUAGUGUGUGUGGUGGAAAGUUUUUUCGGUGUAGGAUGAGCCCGCGGCCUAUCAGCUUGUUGGUGGGGUAAUGGCCUACCAAGGCGGCGACGGGUAGCCAGACUGAGAGGUUGGUCGGCCACAUUGGGACUGAGAUACGGCCCAGACUCCUACGGGAGGCAGCAGUGGGGAAUAUUGCACAAUGGGCGCAAGCCUGAUGCAGCGACGCCGCGGGGGGGAUGACGGCCUUCGGGUUGUAAACUCCUUUCGCCAGGGACGAAGCGUUUUGUGACGGUACCUGGAGAAGAAGCACCGGCUAACUACGUG
This 463-nucleotide ribosomal RNA is filed under the name uncultured bacterium. RNAcentral describes it as "partial 16S ribosomal RNA". It matches the Rfam family "Bacterial small subunit ribosomal RNA", at positions 28 to 507 of the family's 1533-position model. The record is from RNAcentral.